GCAAACAUAGUUUAAAGAAAAUUCUAGAUUGUGAUUCUGGAAAUAGAGGUUGAAACCCUCUUGUUCGCC
RNAcentral lists this transfer RNA (69 nucleotides) under Amolops mantzorum (Kangting sucker frog). RNAcentral describes it as "tRNA-His". It matches the Rfam family "tRNA". From Rfam's summary of the family: Transfer RNA (tRNA) molecules are approximately 80 nucleotides in length. Their secondary structure includes four short double-helical elements and three loops (D, anti-codon, and T loops). The record is from RNAcentral. Lineage: Eukaryota; Metazoa; Chordata; Amphibia; Anura; Ranidae.